This 374-nucleotide ribosomal RNA is filed under the name Listeria monocytogenes. RNAcentral describes it as "bacterial SSU rRNA". It matches the Rfam family "Bacterial small subunit ribosomal RNA", at positions 1 to 360 of the family's 1533-position model. Lineage: Bacteria; Bacillati; Bacillota; Bacilli; Caryophanales; Listeriaceae. The record is from RNAcentral.
UAUUUUAAAGAGAGUUUGAUCCUGGCUCAGGACGAACGCUGGCGGCGUGCCUAAUACAUGCAAGUCGAACGAACGGAGGAAGAGCUUGCUCUUCCAAAGUUAGUGGCGGACGGGUGAGUAACACGUGGGCAACCUGCCUGUAAGUUGGGGAUAACUCCGGGAAACCGGGGCUAAUACCGAAUGAUAAAGUGUGGCGCAUGCCACGCUUUUGAAAGAUGGUUUCGGCUAUCGCUUACAGAUGGGCCCGCGGUGCAUUAGCUAGUUGGUAGGGUAAUGGCCUACCAAGGCAACGAUGCAUAGCCGACCUGAGAGGGUGAUCGGCCACACUGGGACUGAGACACGGCCCAGACUCCUACGGGAGGCAGCAGUAGGGA